GACGAACGCUGGCGGCGUGCUUAACACAUGCAAGUCGAACGGAAAGGCCCUGCUUUUGUGGGGUGCUCGAGUGGCGAACGGGUGAGUAACACGUGAGUAACCUGCCCUUGACUUUGGGAUAACUUCAGGAAACUGGGGCUAAUACCGGAUAGGAGCUCCUGCUGCAUGGUGGGGGUUGGAAAGUUUCGGCGGUUGGGGAUGGACUCGCGGCUUAUCAGCUUGUUGGGGGGGUAGUGGCUUACCAAGGCUUUGACGGGUAGCCGGCCUGGGAGGGUGACCGGCCACAUUGGGACUGAGAUACGGCCCAGACUCCUACGGGAGGCAGCAGUGGGGAAUCUUGCACAAUGGGCGGAAGCCUGAUGCAGCAACGCCGCGUGCGGGAUGACGGCCUUCGGGUUGUAAACCGCUUUCGCCUGUGACGAAGCGUGAGUGACGGUAAUGGGUAAAGAAGCACCGGCUAACUACGUG
This 468-nucleotide ribosomal RNA is filed under the name uncultured bacterium. RNAcentral describes it as "partial 16S ribosomal RNA". It matches the Rfam family "Bacterial small subunit ribosomal RNA", at positions 28 to 507 of the family's 1533-position model. The record is from RNAcentral.